Molecule: ribosomal RNA, 460 nt
Filed under: uncultured bacterium
Lineage: Bacteria
Description: partial 16S ribosomal RNA
Rfam family: Bacterial small subunit ribosomal RNA
Source: RNAcentral
CCUACGGGAGGCAGCAGUGAGGAAUAUUGGUCAAUGGACGCGAGUCUGAACCAGCCAAGUAGCGUGAGGGAUGACUGCCCUAUGGGUUGUAAACUUCUUUUAUAUGGGAGUAAACUGUUACACGUGUGGGCUUUUGUAUGUACCAUAUGAAUAAGAAUAGGCUAACUCAGUGCCAGCAGCCGCGGUAAUACGGAGGAUCCGAGCGUUAUGCGGAUUUAUUGGGUUUAAAGGGAGCGUAGGUGGAUUGUUAAGUCAGUUGUGAAAGUUUGCGGCUCAACCGUACAAUUGCAGUUGAAACUGGCAGUCUAGAGUACAGUAGAGGUGGGUGGAAUUCGUGGUGUAGCGGUGAAAUGCUUAGAUAUCACGAAGAACUCCGAUGGCGAAGGCAGCCCACUGGACUGCGACUGACACUGAGGUUCGAAAGUGUGGGGAUCAAACAGGAUUAGAUACCCUUGUAGUC